RNAcentral lists this non-coding RNA (45 nucleotides) under Schistosoma bovis. RNAcentral also lists the same sequence under 1 other name. The record is from RNAcentral. Lineage: Eukaryota; Metazoa; Platyhelminthes; Trematoda; Strigeidida; Schistosomatidae.
ACUCAGCUGACGAGUCGCAAGUGGGACGAAACAAGCGUCCUGAGU